UCGGCCCCUUACGUAACCUCUUUUUGCCAAAUACAGCGCUGGAAAAACAACUAGCCCUUCGUCCACUGAUGACAGAGGUCGAGGGUGAGACUAAAGCAGACUGCAAGGAGCUGCACUCGAGGGACUUGCCGUCCCUUCUGAUGGGAAAACAAAAGGUAUUUUGACAUGUUUACAGCCUCAAAUUUUGCUACCUAAAAAAUUGAUGUGUGUACUGGGGGACGGAAAGGAGUGUGACGUUAACAGCUCUGGAGUACAGCACAAGCAGCAGAACACGCCUGUGGAGCAUAAAAUACUUCUCCUAAAAUCUUCAUCCUUGGAAUUCUCUGAAGUCUAAGUCACAGAAUGCCUUACUUAAGAAAAUGGUUG
Long non-coding RNA from Manis pentadactyla (Chinese pangolin), 366 nucleotides. RefSeq lists it as uncharacterized. The record is from RefSeq and is a predicted model, not a curated record. NCBI's taxonomy places the organism in Eukaryota, Metazoa, Chordata, Mammalia, Pholidota, Manidae. The transcript has 3 exons.